GCGCAAGCGAAUUAAGGGCGCAUGGGGGAUACCUAGGCUCUCAGAGGCGAUGAAGGACGUGAUAAGCUGCGAAAAGCUACGGGGAUUGGCACAUACAAAUUGAUCCGUAGAUAUCCGAAUGGGGCAACCCAGUACCAUGAAGUGGUAUUACCCUACGGGGGGCAAACGCGGGGAACUGAAACAUCUAAGUACCCGCAGGAGAAGAAAACAAUAGUGAUUCCGCAAGUAGUGGCGAGCGAACGCGGAUUAGCCCAAACCAGCCUGGUUACGGCCAGACUGGGGUUGUAGGACUCACCGAGUGUAUAAUAAUUGAACUGGAAUGACGUGGGAAAGUCAAUCGUAGAGGGUGAGAAUCCCGUACAGGUAAGAGCAUUAUAUGAGUGAGUAUCCUGAGUAAGUGGGGACCGGAGAAAUCCCCUCUGAAUCCGGCGGCACCAUCCGCCAAGGCUAAAUACUCCUGAGAGACCGAUAGUGAACUAGUACCGUGAGGGAAAGGUGAAAAGUACCGCGAGCAGCGGGGUGAAAUAGAACUUGAAACCAUGCGCUUACAAGCGGACGGAGCCUACGGGUGACGUCGUGCCUUUUGCAUAAUGAGCCUACGAGUUACGGUCACUGGCAAGGUUAAUUCACUGAAGUGAAGGAGCCGAAGCGAAAGCGAGUCUGAAAUGGGCGAUUAGUCAGUGGCUGUAGACGCGAAACUUGGUGAUCUACCCUUGGUCAGGUUGAAGCGCUGGUAACACAUCGUGGAGGACCGAACCGGUAAACGUUGAAAAGUUUUCGGAUGAACUGAGGGUAGGGGUGAAAGGCCAAUCAAACUGAGAAAUAGCUCGUACUCCCCGAAAUGUUUUUAGGAACAGCGUCGUGGUUGAGUCAUGUUCAGGUAGAGCUACUGAUAGGACUAGGGGGAGUCAAAUCCUACCAAAUUCUGACAAACUCCGAAUGGGGCAUGAUAUACACGGCAGUGAGGGCUGGGGUGCUAAGGUCCCAGUCCGAGAGGGGAACAACCCAGAGCAUCAGCUAAGGUCCCAAAAUAUAUGCUAAGUUGAACUAAGGGGGUCCGACUGCAGAGACAGCCAGGAUGUUAGCUUGGAAGCAGCUAUACAUUUAAAGAGUGCGUAACAGCUCACUGGUCGAGCGGGGCGGGCAUCGAUAAUAAACGGGCAUCAAGCAUAUUACCGAAGCUAUGCGAUAGUAAUUUAUUACGAUCGGUAGGGGAGCAUUCUCACAGGGGUGAAGCUGUGGCGUAAGCUGCGGUGGACUGGUGAGAAAAGCAAAUGUAGGCAUAAGUAACGAUAAUGCGGAUGAGAAAUCCGCACACCGAAAGACUAAGGAUUCCUCCGCUAUGCUAAUCAACGGAGGGUUAGGCGGGGCCUAAGGGAUAGCCGACAGGCGAUUUUCGAUGGACAGCAGGUUAAUAUUCCUGCCCUUGCAUGCAGUGUGAAAAAGUGACGGAGUAUUGUGGUAAGUACGUACUGACGGAAUAGUGCGUUGAGCAGAGCCUACGGGCGAAGCGAACUUACGAAAACGCUUCCAAGAAAAGCUUUUGAAACAUCAGCUGUACGCAACCCGUACCGUAAACCGACACAGGUAGUCGAGAAGAAUAUUCUAAGGUGCUCGAGUGAAUCACGGCUAAGGAACUCGGCAAAUUAACCCUGUAACUUCGGGAGAAGGGGAGCCUACUCG
This 1683-nucleotide ribosomal RNA is filed under the name Dyadobacter fanqingshengii. RNAcentral's name for it is "partial 23S ribosomal RNA". It matches the Rfam family "Bacterial large subunit ribosomal RNA", at positions 1 to 1758 of the family's 2925-position model. Lineage: Bacteria; Pseudomonadati; Bacteroidota; Cytophagia; Cytophagales; Spirosomataceae. The record is from RNAcentral.